AGUGAAGGUUUUUUUUUUUUUUUGUCUCAUAGUUACUUAAAAAGUUGUGCCUAAUUUAAUUUUAUUUAAUAAUUAAAGGUAGACUAUUUAUCACAAUUCAAAUUAUAAAUCAAAUUAACACUAAGACUUAAAUCAAUAUAAAAUUUUUAAAAUUUAUAAUAAUUUCAAAUAAUCCCUUAUCCAUCCAUAAAACUCAUAUUUUAAGUUUAAUUUAAAGAUAUCAACCAAACAGAGUACAAUAAUAACAUGAACCAAUGAAAAGUUCUCAACCUGACCUAUAAUAUUAAAAUAAAAUCAUUUGAGCUAUUUGAGUAGGACCUGUUCAUGAAAGGGCAAAAGGCUUUUUACUGACUUCUCACCUGGAUGAUACUUCUUUUUUUUUACCCUAAUGGGUGGGCACAGUGAGGCCAGAAAGGCACACGGUAGUCCGUUUCAGGCGACUGGCAAAGUACUAAAUAUUAAAUAUAGACAAGGGGCAGGAAGCAGGCGAUCAGGCAGGCAAUCAAUAUCCAAAGCAAACCCAGCAAGGCAUAUCUCAUAUUCUCCAGUGGCCUAUCCUAUCUAAUCUCAAGUGGCCUAUCUUAUUUUUUUUAUGCCAUGAAUUGACAGCCUUAUCUACAGCUAACAAACCAUACGUGUGGACAGGCAGAAAGAAAAAAAAGAACAAAAAAAAAAAAGAAAGAAAGAA
This 688-nucleotide unclassified non-coding RNA is filed under the name Hevea brasiliensis (rubber tree). Lineage: Eukaryota; Viridiplantae; Streptophyta; Magnoliopsida; Malpighiales; Euphorbiaceae. The record is from RNAcentral.